Molecule: ribosomal RNA, 768 nt
Filed under: human gut metagenome
Description: bacterial SSU rRNA
Rfam family: Bacterial small subunit ribosomal RNA
Source: RNAcentral
UAUCCGGAUUUAUUGGGUUUAAAGGGUGCGUAGGCGGUUUGAUAAGUUAGAGGUGAAAUUUCGGGGCUCAACCCUGAACGUGCCUCUAAUACUGUUGAGCUAGAGAGUAGUUGCGGUAGGCGGAAUGUAUGGUGUAGCGGUGAAAUGCUUAGAGAUCAUACAGAACACCGAUUGCGAAGGCAGCUUACCAAACUAUAUCUGACGUUGAGGCACGAAAGCGUGGGGAGCAAACAGGAUUAGAUACCCUGGUAGUCCACGCAGUAAACGAUGAUAACUCGUUGUCGGCGAUACACAGUCGGUGACUAAGCGAAAGCGAUAAGUUAUCCACCUGGGGAGUACGUUCGCAAGAAUGAAACUCAAAGGAAUUGACGGGGGCCCGCACAAGCGGAGGAACAUGUGGUUUAAUUCGAUGAUACGCGAGGAACCUUACCCGGGCUUGAAAGUUAGCGACGAUUCUUGAAAGAGGAUUUCCCUUCGGGGCGCGAAACUAGGUGCUGCAUGGUUGUCGUCAGCUCGUGCCGUGAGGUGUCGGGUUAAGUCCCAUAACGAGCGCAACCCCUACCGUUAGUUGCCAUCAGGUGAAGCUGGGCACUCUGGCGGGACUGCCGGUGAUAAGCCGGAGGAAGGUGGGGAUGACGUCAAAUCAGCACGGCCCUUACGUCCGGGGCUACACACGUGUUACAAUGGUAGGUACAGAGGGCAGCUACCCAGCGAUGGGAUGCGAAUCUCGAAAGCCUAUCUCAGUUCGGAUUGGAGGCUGAAACCCGC